GCGGAGUGGAUGCCGGGCUGGGCUGCUGCGGGGUGGACUCGGAGCUGGUGCGCUGGGAGGUGGAGCCAUGGCGUCUGGAUUCCGGCUUCUUCCUUUUGCCCUUCCUCAUGGAUGGAAGCGGAAAAGGCGUUUUUAAAAGACAAGCCUAAGCUUCACGCUGUGACCGCAACACAGAAUGUGCUCACCUUGGAAUACUCUACCUCUGCCAUAAAUGCAUCAAAAGAGAUUGCCCCAGCGAGCACACCUGGGCUGAGAAAUCUGAUGAAUCUUCAUCCAAACCGGUGUUAAGUGGAGGCUCUAGGAGCGGGCCCGUGACAUGGGGGAUGUGUCCACUCCCCUGGACCAGGACCGCACUCCCUCCAUCCUUGCAGUUUCCACGCACCCCCUCCCCCGACCCCCACCCGCUGUCGGGACCCUCACCAUCCGUCUGGGUCUCCUGAUCCACGAGAAGGACGCUGCCCCGAGCCCUGGCAUUGCGCCCUGUGCUGGCGGCGGGCUGGACGUCCAGGA
Long non-coding RNA from Mustela lutreola (European mink), 510 nucleotides. RefSeq lists it as uncharacterized. The record is from RefSeq and is a predicted model, not a curated record. The transcript is spliced from 3 exons. NCBI's taxonomy places the organism in Eukaryota, Metazoa, Chordata, Mammalia, Carnivora, Mustelidae.